GUAACUAUAACAUAUGGAAGGUGAAGAUGCAUAACUUUUUCUCAUGGAGAUGUUAGACAAAGAAACCAUAGAGUUUUUGCCAUGAGAUAGAUAAAUUAAAAUUUUGUUAAAACAUAGAAGGUAGACUUCCUGAUAUGGUGGUGGUGAUAAUUAGCUUUUGGGUUAACUUUAUAUAGAGCUUGUGUUUGAUAAUUAGCUAAAUUUACAUAUUCAA
This 214-nucleotide long non-coding RNA is filed under the name Trifolium pratense (red clover). RNAcentral's name for it is "long non-coding RNA (TPRA_LNC008551)". The record is from RNAcentral. Lineage: Eukaryota; Viridiplantae; Streptophyta; Magnoliopsida; Fabales; Fabaceae.